RNAcentral lists this ribosomal RNA (253 nucleotides) under uncultured bacterium. RNAcentral's name for it is "partial 16S ribosomal RNA". It matches the Rfam family "Bacterial small subunit ribosomal RNA", at positions 524 to 776 of the family's 1533-position model. The record is from RNAcentral.
UACGUAGGGUGCAAGCGUUGUCCGGAAUUAUUGGGCGUAAAGAGCUUGUAGGCGGUUUGUCGCGUCUGCUGUGAAAAUCCGGGGCUCAACCCCGGACUUGCAGUGGGUACGGGCAGACUAGAGUGUGGUAGGGGAGACUGGAAUUCCUGGUGUAGCGGUGGAAUGCGCAGAUAUCAGGAGGAACACCGAUGGCGAAGGCAGGUCUCUGGGCCACUACUGACGCUGAGGAGCGAAAGCGUGGGGAGCGAACAGG